RNAcentral lists this long non-coding RNA (900 nucleotides) under Vulpes vulpes (red fox). RNAcentral describes it as "lncRNA (ENSVVUG00000020848.1)". The record is from RNAcentral. Lineage: Eukaryota; Metazoa; Chordata; Mammalia; Carnivora; Canidae.
UGUCUACAGAAGACACAGUGAGAAAGGCAUCCUCUGGUGAGCAGUUCUGGCGAGACAGGUAGGCAUCUCACUGGGGAUGGCUCAAGCAGUGGGAUCCUCACCUGCUGCUUCCAUCCUGCUUUUUCUGCCAUUUACUCCUUUGAAAUUUACUCUCAAAGGUAGAAAGGUAAAUUUCUGCUAUUUACUUUGAAAUUAAAGGUUAUUUUGGGGGAAAAAAUCCAGAAAUUUAAAAUAUUGGUGGCAAAAACUGUCCUGCACAUUCAAUUCUCCAUGUAAGAAUAGUUAAUGCUAUUUAAAAUGCCUGAACACACACCUAAAAUAGGUAAAGGUCCACAUAAGAAAGGUAUUUCCAUAGGAUUAAAGUUCUGGAAGUUGUCAAGGUGGAUCAUAGUUUCGUCAUAGUCAUGAUGUUUAAACAAUACAUAUGAUGAGGCCACUCACUACUCAUACAGGCUCCUGACCAAUCAGCAUGAACGUGAGCUCUAAAUGCCAAAUAGAACUACAUGAUGCAAACCAGUGCACCAUUAAUUGUUUAUGUCGCAUUGCUGGAGUAGCGGUUCUCAGCUAGCUCAUCUGCCUCCCAGGAAGCAAAACAGACAUUACAGGGCCUACCAGACAAAUGCAGAACAUGAUGCGUUAAUGUUUCCAUAUCUCCCAGUACAUGAUUCUGGAAUAGCACGACCUGAAAGUCUAAAUGGACAUCCUUCAAUCCAUGCAGGAUCACAGACUGUGUUAUGGAACUGAAAAUCUGAAACCUUAAAACCAGAUGGGUGGUCUGGAGACAGGACCAGCUGUGCAGAGAAAAUGACAGGACAAAAAGAAACAAAGUCCAACAUAAGAUAAGCUUGGGAUGGCAAAAGUUACAAAAUUAGGUCAAUAAAAUGUCAGCAUUAUAGUACA